ACGCUCGACACCUACGAGGCAGCAGUGGGGAAUAUUGCACAAUGGGGGAAACCCUGAUGCAGCGACGCCGCGUGAGCGAAGAAGUAUUUCGGUAUGUAAAGCUCUAUCAGCAGGGAAGAAAAUGACGGUACCUGACUAAGAAGCCCCGGCUAACUACGUCGCCGCAGCCGCGGUAAUCUGAGCGGGCUGGCAAGGC
This 196-nucleotide ribosomal RNA is filed under the name uncultured bacterium. RNAcentral's name for it is "partial 16S ribosomal RNA". It matches the Rfam family "Bacterial small subunit ribosomal RNA", at positions 326 to 539 of the family's 1533-position model. The record is from RNAcentral.